This 242-nucleotide long non-coding RNA is filed under the name Lathyrus oleraceus (garden pea). RNAcentral's name for it is "Pisum sativum (pea) long non-coding RNA (PSAT_LNC034882)". The record is from RNAcentral. Lineage: Eukaryota; Viridiplantae; Streptophyta; Magnoliopsida; Fabales; Fabaceae.
GUGGUGUCGAAGGGUUUUGAUGGUGGAGAUUUAUGAGGGUUUCGUGGUGGUAGAUCGGAGAGAAAAAGGGUCGCUCGCCGGAGAGAGAUGAAAACGAAGGAGCUUUUUUAAUUUCCUUUCUUUUCGUUUGCUUUUUCUUUUCGUGAGUGAAAGGGUGAGGGAGCAGAGUGGUUUUUACGGUGGGUUUGAGCGUGAGGUGGAUGGUGUGAGCGGUGGUGGAAAGAGAGCGACAUGAGGUUGUU